GACGAACGCUGGCGGCGUGCUUAACACAUGCAAGUCGAACGGAAAGGCCCCUUUGGGGGUACUCGAGUGGCGAACGGGUGAGUAACACGUGAGUAACCUGCCCUUGAAUUCGGGAUAACUUCAGGAAACUGGGGCUAAUACCGGAUAGGAAUCCUUGCUGCAUGGUGGGGGUUGGAAAGCUUCGGCGGUUUUGGAUGGACUCGCGGCGUAUCAGCUUGUUGGUGGGGUAGUGGCUUACCAAGGCGUCGACGGGUAGCCGGCCUGAGAGAGCGAACGGCCACAUUGGGACUGAGAGACGGCCCAGACUCCUACUGGAGGCAGCAGUGGGGAAUAUUGCACAAUGGGCGGAAGCCUGAUGCAGCAACUCCGCGUGCGGGAUGACGGCCUUCGUGUUGUAAACCGCUUUCAGCAGGGGCGAAGCUUGUGGUGACGUUACCUGCAGAAGAAGCACCGGCUAACUACGUG
RNAcentral lists this ribosomal RNA (465 nucleotides) under uncultured bacterium. RNAcentral's name for it is "partial 16S ribosomal RNA". It matches the Rfam family "Bacterial small subunit ribosomal RNA", at positions 28 to 507 of the family's 1533-position model. The record is from RNAcentral.